Molecule: ribosomal RNA, 301 nt
Filed under: uncultured bacterium
Lineage: Bacteria
Description: partial 16S ribosomal RNA
Rfam family: Bacterial small subunit ribosomal RNA
Source: RNAcentral
CAGUAGCCGCGGUAAUACGUAGGUCCCGAGCGUUGUCCGGAUUUAUUGGGCGUAAAGCGAGCGCAGGCGGUUAGAUAAGUCUGAAGUUAAAGGCUGUGGCUUAACCAUAGUACGCUUUGGAAACUGUUUAACUUGAGUGCAAGAGGGGAGAGUGGAAUUCCACGUGUAGCGGUGAAAUGCGUAGAUAUAUGGAGGAACACCGGUGGCGAAAGCGGCUCUCUGGCUUGUAACUGACGCUGAGGCUCGAAAGCGUGGGGAGCAAACAGGAUUAGAUACCCCCGUAGUCCCUGUCUCUUAUACA